Megalops atlanticus (tarpon) is the source of this 72-nucleotide non-coding RNA. The record is from the annotation of a GenBank genome assembly. Lineage: Eukaryota; Metazoa; Chordata; Actinopteri; Elopiformes; Megalopidae.
GGCAGUGUGGUGUUGUGGUAAGGCGCAAGGCUCCUAACCAAAAGGUCGCUGUUUCGAAUCCCACCAGGGCCC